Molecule: non-coding RNA, 65 nt
Organism: Dipodomys ordii (Ord's kangaroo rat)
Lineage: Eukaryota; Metazoa; Chordata; Mammalia; Rodentia; Heteromyidae
Source: Rfam
GGUGGCUCAGUGGUAGAACGCUUGCCUUGCAUGCAUGAAGCCCUGAGUUCGAUUCCUCAGCACCA